This 537-nucleotide small RNA is filed under the name Histoplasma capsulatum. Its description in RNAcentral is "hypothetical RNA". The record is from RNAcentral. Lineage: Eukaryota; Fungi; Ascomycota; Eurotiomycetes; Onygenales; Ajellomycetaceae. RNAcentral also lists the same sequence under 1 other name.
GGGCGUUUUAAUCCUAUUUAUAUAUAACCCGAAAGUUUUUGAGCUCUCUUGAAACGAACCUCUCCGAGGAUACGAAUACCGUGUCAAUUAAGCCGGAAACAUCAUUUCAAAUUUGGAGCUCUUCUUUGCCAGUGAAACACUGUCAUAGCUGGGAAUUAUACAGAUACCAUGCAGGACGGUUACACAAAUUUAUUAUACAAUAAAUUCUUAAACUGCUGGUAAAAUGAUGGAAGUCAUAAAUCAUCCAUGGUUGACAUUCCAUCUCGCUUAUUAUUACUUGGACAGUCCCACUUUUGGAGGGCAGAGAACGAACCCGCUUUUGUUUUGCAUACUAUGAUGUAUAGUAUAUUUGGAUCAUGAACACGGACCGGCGAACAACAAAGACGAGACCACAGAACCUCCGUUUUAUUGUCGUGUGCCCUCCUGAAGAGCAUCUAGAACAUCUCGCACGGCCGUGCUUAGGUCAUACUGGGUACGGCCUCCCUUCAAUCUUGUUUCCUUUUUAUUUCCGCAACGUUUCACCAAGGGUAGAAAGGA